RNAcentral lists this ribosomal RNA (376 nucleotides) under uncultured bacterium. RNAcentral describes it as "bacterial SSU rRNA". It matches the Rfam family "Bacterial small subunit ribosomal RNA", at positions 523 to 898 of the family's 1533-position model. The record is from RNAcentral.
AUACGUAGGGAGCGAGCGUUGUCCGGAUUUACUGGGUGUAAAGGGUGCGUAGGCGGCUGUUUAAGUCAGGUGUGAAAACCAUCGGCUCAACUGAUGGAUUGCAUUUGAAACUGAGCAGCUUGAGUGGAGCAGAGGCAGGUGGAAUUCCCGGUGUAGCGGUGAAAUGCGUAGAGAUCGGGAGGAACACCAGUGGCGAAAGCGGCCUGCUGGGCUUUAACUGACGCUGAGGCACGAAAGCAUGGGUAGCAAACAGGAUUAGAUACCCUGGUAGUCCAUGCCGUAAACGAUGAUUACUAGGUGUGGGGGGUCUGACCCCCUCCGUGCCGGAGUUAACACAAUAAGUAAUCCACCUGGGAAGUACGACCGCAAGGUUGAA